GAGCUUUCACUAACAUCAUCCAGUUGGUUAGAGCGUGGUGCUAAUAUCUCAGUCUCCGGACUGUGCCACAUACGCCAAGGUCGCGAGUUCGACCCUCGUAGUGACCA
Elasticomyces elasticus is the source of this 107-nucleotide non-coding RNA. The record is from the annotation of a GenBank genome assembly. Lineage: Eukaryota; Fungi; Ascomycota; Dothideomycetes; Mycosphaerellales; Teratosphaeriaceae.